Molecule: ribosomal RNA, 423 nt
Filed under: Triticum aestivum (bread wheat)
Lineage: Eukaryota; Viridiplantae; Streptophyta; Magnoliopsida; Poales; Poaceae
Description: partial small subunit ribosomal RNA
Source: RNAcentral
GUUGAAAACCGUUUAUCAUUUUCUUCUGCUCCUCGUUGGGUUCGACACUCUUCUAUCGAAAGGACUACCAUAGAUCGCCUGUACUCACCGCCGCCUCCGAUCGCCGCCAUGCUCACCACCACCUCUCGCUGACAGGGCUUCGCCCGUACAUCUGGCACGAAGGGCAGGCGGAUCCGGCGGGGAGGUGUAGAAGGGCUCCCCGUCAUCCGUUCCCGCCGGCCACGUAGCUGGCCGAUCCGAAUCUGGUUGCUGACCUCAGGCACAGCGGUGUGGUGAGGCUAGAAGGAGGGACGGCAUCCUCAUAUCGUCGGGCAAGGUCUGCUUACCUCAGCCGAGCAGCGCUGUUGAUCUUCAUGGCGAGGCCCUCCCAGUCGGCGGUGAAGUAGCCGGAGCUGGACCGAGGUCGAGCGCGACAAGCUACUC